AGAGAGUGCAAGAGAACGUGAAACCGGUGUAAUGGAAGCAGAUGGAGUUGACGUAUCUGGUGCGUAUUCAGUUGUUGGUUGUGGCGAUUGCUGCGCUUGUUAUUCCGCAAGGUUGACGGUGUAGUAUUGUCGUUGCUGCUUGCGAUGCAUUUACGUACGGAGUGGGCCGAGUUGUGCGGUGGUGUCAAUCGAAGCGUUUCGAGAGGACAUGGCUUCGGUCGUGAAACCUUGGCUCGUGGAGGUUGGUUGCUGCUGCAUAAUUUUGUGGAGACACGGGUUUUUCGCGGGCUUGGGCAUCGAUUUGGUUUGUUCGUGUUGGAUGUAUGCGUCUAAGAACUUCUASACGCAUUUCACGCUUAUGGGCUAGGUCGGUGUUCAAGUUUGCUCUGUGCUCUUCUCGGUCUAUAGUCAAUGACCCAUUUGACCCGUCUUGAAACACGGACCAAGGAGUUUAUGGUAUACGCGAGUCAUUGGGCUUUCAAACUCAAAGGCGUAAUGAAAGUGAGAUAUUAUUGGUUUUAAUGUGAUCGGUUGCUGUUUCGAUGGCGGCCGAGCAACAUUGCCCCGUUUCGAGAACUUGUUCUGUUGCGGAGGUUGAGCGUAUGCUAUGAGACCCGAAAGAUGGUGAACUAUGCCUGAACAGGAUGAAGCCAGAGGAAACUCUGGUGAAGUCCGAAGCGGUUCUGACGUGCAAAUCGAUCGUCUGAUUUUGGUAUAGGGCGCAG
This 725-nucleotide ribosomal RNA is filed under the name Bursaphelenchus eremus. RNAcentral's name for it is "eukaryotic LSU rRNA". It matches the Rfam family "Eukaryotic large subunit ribosomal RNA", at positions 382 to 928 of the family's 3401-position model. The record is from RNAcentral. Lineage: Eukaryota; Metazoa; Nematoda; Chromadorea; Rhabditida; Aphelenchoididae.